Molecule: non-coding RNA, 273 nt
Organism: Hordeum vulgare subsp. vulgare (domesticated barley)
Lineage: Eukaryota; Viridiplantae; Streptophyta; Magnoliopsida; Poales; Poaceae
Source: Rfam
AUAAUGUAUGCGAUACGAAGUUAUUACGAUAACUGCUGAAAGCAUAUAAGUAGUAAGCCCACCCCAAGAUGAGUGCUCUCUCCUCCGACUUCCCUAGAGCCUCCGGUAUCACAGCCGAGACAGCGACGGGUUCUCCACCCAUACGGGGAUGGAGCGACAGAAGUAUGGGAAUAGGAUAAGGUAGCGGCGAGACGAGCCGUUUAAAUAGGUGUCAAGUGGAAGUGCAGUGAUGUAUGCAGCUGAGGCAUCCUAACGAACGAACGAUUUGAACCU